AUAAGCGGUUGUCUCACACCCUUUGGCCUCCCUCGGAUUCUUCCGCCGUCCCCGAAGGCGGCCCUACAGCUGAAGGGUCGGCACGCCCGAGGAAGGAACGCGGACCUGGAGAGGCACCGCGGCCCGAAGCGCGUUCGUGCUUCCCUUGGUGCCGGGCUGUGGGCGCCCCGCGGGCUGCCCUCCUGAGGGACUCCUUCCCUCGAAGCUCCCGCGGAAGGCCUCCCGAUGAGUUAAAAUGGUGCUGAGGCUCGAGGGGAGCUGGUCGCUGCUCGUGGGGAAGAGGUUCCUGUGCCUGUCGGAGGAGGAGGACAGGUCGUGGGACGCCACCCGCAUCUCGGAAUGGCCCUGGAAGUCGGGCAGGAUCCGGGCAGUGUCACACACGGACAUAUCCAAACCAGACCUGAAGAUUUGUGUGGAAUUUGAUGAUGAGCCAUGGGAAAAACGAAGAUGGAUAGAAGUCUACAGCCAUACAAUGAUAGCAUUCCUGGUGGAGCAAAAGCUGGUGCUGGCUGAAAGAAAAUCCCAGUCCAUGCCUGCUGUCCAGUGGCCUGCAAUGGCAAGUACACGUUGGGU
This is a long non-coding RNA of Pseudopipra pipra, 573 nucleotides long. RefSeq lists it as uncharacterized. NCBI's taxonomy places the organism in Eukaryota, Metazoa, Chordata, Aves, Passeriformes, Pipridae. The record is from RefSeq and is a predicted model, not a curated record. The transcript is spliced from 3 exons.